This 66-nucleotide transfer RNA is filed under the name Hybomitra bimaculata. RNAcentral's name for it is "tRNA-Asn". The record is from RNAcentral. Lineage: Eukaryota; Metazoa; Arthropoda; Insecta; Diptera; Tabanidae. RNAcentral also lists the same sequence under 9 other names.
UUAAUUGAAGCCAAAAUAGAGGCAUAUCACUGUUAAUGAUAAGACUGAAUAUUAAUUCCAAUUAAG